This 148-nucleotide unclassified non-coding RNA is filed under the name uncultured Sordariales. RNAcentral describes it as "sequence contains ITS1". Lineage: Eukaryota; Fungi; Ascomycota; Sordariomycetes; Sordariales. The record is from RNAcentral.
UAGAGUUACAACUCCUAAACCCACUGUGAAUCUACCUAUUUCGUUGCUUCGGCAGGCGGCCCCAGGGCGGGGCUGUAGCCUUAUGGUGCCUGCCGAAAGCUCACAAAACUCGCUGUUAUGUCUUCUGAAAAGCAAAACAAAAUUAUCA